GGGGACAGUUUGAGAACAAUUAAGAUGGAC
Molecule: non-coding RNA, 30 nt
Filed under: Rattus norvegicus (Norway rat)
Lineage: Eukaryota; Metazoa; Chordata; Mammalia; Rodentia; Muridae
Source: RNAcentral